CAUUUUAAUUUUAUUGUGUUUGCUUAACUUACGUGUUAAAAUAAUGCGUGGUAAGCUGGCGUCGCAAACAGAACUAUUGUUUCAAAAGGCCAGUGAGCGGCGUCUUCGGGGCGAAAAUGACGCACGAAUCAGGAAAAGGAUCACCUGUCUUUUCAGAUCGAUUUCAAUGGUAGCGCAAUCGGCUCGAUGGCGAUCGCAAUUUUCGGUGUGACACGUAUACCGUUUUCCUCAAUUGCGUUGAAAGUGUAGAAUAAAACCGCAUUCAGUUGCCCAUUUCUAUUGACGCUUGUAGCAGCUUGAGAGCACACUUUAUCCGAUACGGCAAAAACUUCUGUUUGAAUACAGAACUGAACGUUCAAAAUAAUACCAGUGGUUCACUACGUGUGAUCGUAACUUUCUUGCUUGCAUGCAUGUUUUUAUUGUAGCGACAAAAAGAGUUCUGUGCUCUGGCUGCUCUGCUGUGUUUCGUUGGUACAAGUGCUUGUGGUGCAGCAAGACGUUUUGCUCCGAAUGAUGUCGGGGCAGUCAAGGCAUUCGUCUCAGUAAGCAAGCUGUAAAUGUAUCAGUUGCAGAAAAAUGUGGACCUACAAGAGAAGCGAAUGCAAUCAUCAUAGACUGUAUAUUGAGAAUAAUUCAGUUGUAUUACUAAAGCAGAGAGUAUAUAUUCAUGGAAAUCAGAUUGUAUUGUUACUUAGCAGGAACUAGGUAACUUAUCAUUACUAAUUAAUCAUUUUCUUUUAUUGAAAAACUAGUUGCUGUUGUCCUGCUGGAGCUGAGAAGAGGUCUGCUGCCUGCAAUGGGUCCAUCUCUGUAAAGUUAUUGCAGUGUUGUUGCUCUCAAAGUUCAAAAAAGGAAGGUGUGAGCUGUUGCUAAGGUUCCGACCAGAAAGCAAAGCCAGUAUAAAAGGGUCCACACCACUGAUCUUUACUACAGGGAGAGAAUAACACAUCGAACCCCCUCAACUGAAGCCAACCUUCUCCCAGAAGUUAGCGCUUCACAACUUUGCAGCAGCACUUCAUCUGCACGGCGGCAAGGUUAUUCUUGCAAGGUGCUGGGGUUCAAGAGCAACUUUCACCAGGAAAGAGUGGAAGCCAAGUGAUUGAAGAAAAUAAAGUUGCUUCUAUGAUCUAUACAACAUGAGGACUGAAAUUUUGCGCUUUUUUGUAUAUAUGCUGCGCAAUGCAUUCAUAUCACAAAGUGCAA
RNAcentral lists this long non-coding RNA (1203 nucleotides) under Dermacentor andersoni. Its description in RNAcentral is "uncharacterized LOC126527693". Lineage: Eukaryota; Metazoa; Arthropoda; Arachnida; Ixodida; Ixodidae. The record is from RNAcentral.